GCUGGGCAUGGUGGCACAUGCCUGUAGUCCCAGCUACUCAGGAGGCUGAGGUGGGGGAAUUGCUUGAGCCCAGGAGAUUGAGGCUGCAGUGAGCUAUGAUGGCGCCACUGCCCUCCAGCCUGGGCAACAGAGUGAGACCCUGUCUCAA
Molecule: small RNA, 148 nt
Filed under: Macaca mulatta (Rhesus monkey)
Lineage: Eukaryota; Metazoa; Chordata; Mammalia; Primates; Cercopithecidae
Description: Metazoan signal recognition particle RNA (ENSMMUG00000063813.1)
Rfam family: Metazoan signal recognition particle RNA
About the family: The signal recognition particle (SRP) is a universally conserved ribonucleoprotein. It is involved in the co-translational targeting of proteins to membranes. The eukaryotic SRP consists of a 300-nucleotide 7S RNA and six proteins: SRPs 72, 68, 54, 19, 14, and 9.
Source: Rfam by way of RNAcentral